AAGUCGUAACAAGGUUUCCGUAGGUGAACCUGCGGAAGGAUCAUUAUCACGUAUCCACGUAUCAACCAUUGUGAACUGUUUACUCAGCCCUUUGAAGAGAGUGAGGUAGUUUUGGGAUGAUAAAACAUAUGAACUAUUUGUUUUGUGAUUUAUAGUUCGUUUUAACAUCUCCCAUGCUUUUCGGAGCAUACUCGUUCACUUCAGAGGUGUAUUUAAAAAAAAUCACACUUUGUCAUUAACAACUUAAACCUUACUUUUUUUUAUAUAUGAACUAAUUUGUAUUUGUUACUCUUUGCGGAG
RNAcentral lists this unclassified non-coding RNA (300 nucleotides) under Phylloporus sp. RNAcentral describes it as "partial contains small subunit ribosomal RNA and internal transcribed spacer 1". The stretch from base 1 to 46 matches the Rfam family "Eukaryotic small subunit ribosomal RNA", at positions 1786 to 1831 of the family's 1831-position model. Lineage: Eukaryota; Fungi; Basidiomycota; Agaricomycetes; Boletales; Boletaceae. The record is from RNAcentral.